AGAACGCUACUGGGCGGCGACCAAAAUUCUUCCGUUCUCGCGUAUUCCCACCACUAAACCUGCGUGAGUGCUGGCCGCCACCGUCUGCACCACCAUCGCUCACCGACGGCUACUACCGCCGUUGUCAUAUUGUGUAUACAACGUGUAUUGUAUUGUUCUAUGUUUUUACAAUUAUACGUUUUUACAUAAAUAAGCCAAGUUUUCCAUUUUUGCUUGUUUUAGUGUUUACUAUUUUAGUAAAUACUUAGAUUACUAAAUACAACAUGGACCUCGUUGAGAUUUCUCCUUCCAAAAAAAAUUUUCGUGGAAAAGUAAGUGUUUGUAUGACUAUUUUUCUAUUGCGAAUUCUUAAUUUUUAAAUAAAUAUAUUAUUUUCUUUAGUUUGUUGGUACUGCUCAAAAGCAGAUCACUAUAAAUCUGUACAAAAACAAAGUCAGGCAACAACUUCAAAACUCAGACAGCCCCAAAUUGGCCUAUAGACGGAUGCUUCUCGACAUUUCUAAGUCAAGUGGUAUUGGACAACGUACCAUACAAACAACUUAAGUCGAAUAUAAAAAAGAAGGUACAGUUUCAUCUCCUAAUUAGAAAAAAAUGAGAUAUACAAUACUUCAAAAAGUGAGAUUAAGAUAAAAAUGCCAUUAGGCGUAAAAUACAUGGCUUUUAGUUGAAUUGUGAAGUGCCUACAGUUGUAAAAAUAUUAAUGACCAUAAAUGAAGACGAUACUUUACCAAACCUAUAACGUUCCUCAUUUCAAAAAUUGAUGAAAUAACUCCAAUUUGUUUAUGUCAAAAAAUAUCGUUGUAGUGCGCUUAUCGAAAGAGAACAAAUACAAUGUUGGCGCCGAAAAUAUUUGGAUCAAAUAAGACAAUAUUGAGCACAAAACCGACCGGUAUAUUACUUGGAUGAAGCGUGGGUCAACACAGGUGAAACACAUAAGAAAACAUGGGUCGACAGUACGGUAAAUUCACCACGUGACACAUUUUUUAGAGGCCUCACCACGGAACAAAAGGAACUCUCUGGUAUACAACUGAUUGUAUUACACAUCAGAUCGACUGACGGCUUUGUCCCUGGGGACCUUUUGUGCUUCGAAUCAAAAACAAAUCCUCGUAAACUAUCACGAAGAAAUGAAUGGUGAUACUUUUUUUCAAUGGAUCGUAAAAAUUUUGCCAUUACUUAAAGUAAAUGCCGUAAUUUUAAUGGACAAUGUUCCAAAUCAUUCGGUUAAGAAAGAUAGAAUUCCAGUAAUGUCUUGUAAAAAAGAAGAUAUUAUAAGUUGGUUGGAAAGUAAAGGUGAGAUUGUUAAUCAGCCAAUAAUAAAAGCGCUGUUAUUGAUAAAAGUCCAGACAAUGAAAUUCCGAUAUGAUAAAUAUGUCAUAGAUGCAUACGUAAACGAAACCAUAUUAAGAUUGCCUCCAUACCACUGCGAGUGUUCGGACACAUAACAACACAUUCAAGCUUAAAGACGUUGAAGAUAUAUUAAAAAGAGGGUUGGAACACGUAAUACCGGAAAUGUGGGCGAAUUUUGUGGGACAUGUCAUAAAGGAAGAACAGAAAUGUUGGGAUGUCAACAACAUAACUGACGAAAUUAUGGACUUAAUGAAGGAGAACGUCAUAUUCUAACAAUGGGAACAGGUUCAACAACAGAAUCGGAUUCAAACUGAAAUUUUGUUUGUAUUUUUAUUAAUUUUUUUUUUUUCGGUAUUAUUUAAGCAAAUGUAUGUAUGAAUGAAUAAAUAAAUGCAUACAAAUAAAAUUUGCAUAC
Molecule: long non-coding RNA, 1762 nt
Filed under: Cinara cedri
Lineage: Eukaryota; Metazoa; Arthropoda; Insecta; Hemiptera; Aphididae
Source: RNAcentral